Molecule: ribosomal RNA, 225 nt
Filed under: Triticum aestivum (bread wheat)
Lineage: Eukaryota; Viridiplantae; Streptophyta; Magnoliopsida; Poales; Poaceae
Description: partial small subunit ribosomal RNA
Source: RNAcentral
AUGAAUAUUAUGCAAGGAGAUCGCUUCUUUGCUGCACGAAAGAGCUCCCGCACUCUCUUAGCCCCAGUGCCCACAUACACCUCGUCGAAAUCACUGCCACUGCACGCGAAGAAGGGGACGCCGGCUUCCCCGGCCACAGCUCUUGCCAACAUGGUCUUCCCUGUGCCGGGUGGGCCCACAAGCAAAAGACCCUUUGGAAGCUUGCCACCAAGUAGGGUGCACUAG